UCGGGAGGCAGCAGUGGGGAAUAUUGCACAAUGGGCGCAAGCCUGAUGCAGCCAUGCCGCGUGUAUGAAGAAGGCCUUCGGGUUGUAAAGUACUUUCAGCGGGGAGGAAGGGAGUAAAGUUAAUACCUUUGCUCAUUGACGUUACCCGCAGAAGAAGCACCGGCUAACUCCGUGCCAGCAGCCGCGGUAAUACGGAGGGUGCAAGCGUUAAUCGGAAUUACUGGGCGUAAAGCGCACGCAGGCGGUUUGUUAAGUCAGAUGUGAAAUCCCCGGGCUCAACCUGGGAACUGCAUCUGAUACUGGCAAGCUUGAGUCUCGUAGAGGGGGGUAGAAUUCCAGGUGUAGCGGUGAAAUGCGUAGAGAUCUGGAGGAAUACCGGUGGCGAAGGCGGCCCCCUGGACGAAGACUGAC
Molecule: ribosomal RNA, 411 nt
Filed under: uncultured bacterium
Lineage: Bacteria
Description: bacterial SSU rRNA
Rfam family: Bacterial small subunit ribosomal RNA
Source: RNAcentral